AAACGGGGGAGAAAUGUAUUCCCUUUCCUUGUCUACCCGCUCCAAGAGUAAACGAGACAACUCUAGUUCGCUGCCCGACAAGGUGCUGUAAAAUCGUGUAAUCGUUCAGCAGUGCGGUGCCACUAGCAGGCCAGAGAGCCGAACCGAGUGUUGGACGGACCAGUUUUCAUUCGAUACCGGAGAUGUAGAUUCGAUGCAAGAAGUCCGGCGAAAUUUAUUUCGCACAAAAACGAGAAGAUGUCCUGUUUAUGUUUGUCACAGCUUAACAAAAAUGGUGUGAAUACUUUUGUUUUAUUGAUUUUGAAUGGUUUGGUUUGUGCUUGAAACACUGAGUUUAUUGUUGGUUCAAGUUGUUUUUGAUCAAACAACUCAACUGCAUGUAAAGUGUUCACAUUCACAUAAAUACUUGUACAAAGCAUAUAAAAUACUUUAAAAAGCAUAUGUCUUUUGAGUUUAAACAGAUAUAUAUGUAUGAAAUUUAAGAAAAAAUUGUAAUCUCAAAAUAAUUACUUCAUAGCUUAAAGAUCUAAAAUAGUCUAAAUUUCCCGUCGGAAGAAAAUAUCUUCCAAUUUUCGACAUAAAUGUUAUGAAACUACCUAAUGUAUCAGAUCCGUUUCGUGCUACUUUAUAAAAGUAAAACCGUUAGUUAAGUUGCUACAAAGUAAUAAUUGAGCUUGAUAAACAAAGUAAGUAGUGGUACGAUCUAGUAGUCACUGCUUUACUGUCAUCAACCUGGGGGAUGCGUCGGAGAAGCAAAAAAAAAAAAGAGAGAAGGUGAAUUUUCCACGAACAUCAGCUAGGUGCUGAAAAUUGCAACACUUCACCGGCGCUACCCAUGACCUAUAACCCGUACGAACGAUCAGCCAGCAGCCGUGUCCAUGGACGUAGAUUUCCACGAAAAUUUUCCACCCCUGCCCACAACCUUGCUCGCCUUGCCAACCGGCAAACGUCUAGUCUGGGAAACUCAAACAUCAGGGGACCUGGAUGUUGGCCAAACAACUUCAGGCUGGACGAGAAACGGGAGAAGGGCCACAUGAAAGCGAGCACAUGUAAUGAAGGGGACAGAAUGAAGGGCGAAAAAAAACUACGUCGGUCACAUUCAUCAUAAUGCAGCUGUUGGAAGAAAAAAAAGAAUCAUUUACCAUGGGACCCGGUAAAUAGGAUGCUUUUGCAGAGUUACCUUUUCGAAGAGUGUCUUAAGAGGAUUGCACUAUUGAGAGGAAGAAACAGAAGCCACCAUUGCCAUUAAUAUCCCGAAAAAAGGGAGAUACGGUGCGUUUCGGGGUUUUGUCUUUUCCAUCGUGACGAUCGUACGAAGAAAAACCGAAUGGCGUAACCGAAGAACCUGGGAAUUGAAAGACUAAAUGCGUACCAGAACUAUAUGCUUCUUUCCUAUGCCCUGGACCUGGAGACUCCAUACCCGAAUGAAUGGAGGACGCUAACAAUAGAACAAGUUUUUUCCUUCGCUUUGCAUGUGUGUGUUUGAGGAGUGUAUUAAGAAUAGAAAUAUAAAGUUGAAACAAGGUUUAUAUGUAAAAAAAAUGUUACUUUUAAAUAUGCAGUGCGUGUGUUUAAUUGAAUAUAUUUUGUUUAGUAUUGUGUGUUUUGUGGUUUCAUAGUUCAUAAUCAACCCGCAGUAAAUUUCAAUUCUUAUUCUGGUGCUUAAGAGCUUGUUUAACAGCGUCCUUAACAUGUCCAACUACAAACUCUGAUGGUUUGAAAAUAAUUCUCACAAUUCCACGGGUCCUAGACAUAAACUAGAGAAGCACGUGAUGCUCUAAACACGCAAUGCUGGUACGUAACAUCAUCUUUUCCAUAAAAAUGGAUGCAUCCAAAACUGAGCAGCAAAUGCGGGAACUGAACGAAACUAAUUAACUAAUUUCAAUAGAUAUUCUCAUGUUACUCGUCGAGGACUCACUAAGGACCAC
Long non-coding RNA from Anopheles funestus (African malaria mosquito), 1928 nucleotides. RefSeq lists it as uncharacterized. The record is from RefSeq and is a predicted model, not a curated record. NCBI's taxonomy places the organism in Eukaryota, Metazoa, Arthropoda, Insecta, Diptera, Culicidae. The transcript has 3 exons.